GACGAACGCUGGCGGCGUGCUUAACACAUGCAAGUCGAACGGAAAGGCCCUGCUUUUGUGCGGUGCUCGAGUGGCGAACGGGUGAGUAACACGUGUGUAACCUGCCCUUGACUUUGGGGUAACUUCAGGGAACUGGGGCUACUACCGGAUAGGAGCUCCUGCUGCAUGGUGGGGGUUGGAAAGUUUCGGCGGUUGGGGAUGGACUCGCGGGUUAUCAGCUUGUUGGUGGGGUAGUGGCUUACCAAGGCAGUGACGGGUAGCCCGCCUGGGAGGGUGACCGGCCACAUUGGUCCUGCGAUACGGCGCAGUGUCCUACGGUAGGCAGCAGGGGGGAAUAUGGCACAAUGGUCGGAAGCCUGAGGCAGCGACGCCGCGUGCGUGAUGACGUCCUUCGGGUUGUAAACCGCUUUCGCCUGUGACGAAGCGUGAGUGACGGUAAUGGAUAAAGAAGCACCGGCUAACUACGUG
RNAcentral lists this ribosomal RNA (468 nucleotides) under uncultured bacterium. RNAcentral's name for it is "partial 16S ribosomal RNA". It matches the Rfam family "Bacterial small subunit ribosomal RNA", at positions 28 to 507 of the family's 1533-position model. The record is from RNAcentral.